GGGGGCGAUACGGUUUCGACGUGGGUAGUGAAGGUUCAGUGGCGCGAUCGCUGGUGCUCGUAACGGCGCUAAAAUACGAGCAAAUCAGAGAAGCGAACGAUAACGCUCUCGCUCUCGCCGCCUGAAAAGCCGGUGAGACGUUCUCUAGGCGAGUCUGCCUGUACUCUCCUAGGGGGCGCAAUUGAACAGGUUGCCGCGCGGCGACCGCUCUCCGAGUCGCGCGAAAGAUAAAGGCGAGAUAACUCAGAAAAAAGCCUGUUUGUCGGCGAGUUUCUGGGUGAAUUAAAAGACAAACUACAUCGCGUAGAAGCUGCACUUGAUCACCUGCGGACCCGGGUUCGACUCCCGGCGCCUCCACCC
RNAcentral lists this transfer-messenger RNA (360 nucleotides) under Deltaproteobacteria bacterium. It matches the Rfam family "transfer-messenger RNA". From Rfam's summary of the family: Bacterial tmRNA, also known as 10Sa RNA or SsrA, is named for its dual tRNA and mRNA-like properties. Its role is to liberate the mRNA from a stalled ribosome. The record is from RNAcentral. Lineage: Bacteria; Pseudomonadati; Myxococcota; Myxococcia.